This 464-nucleotide ribosomal RNA is filed under the name uncultured bacterium. RNAcentral describes it as "partial 16S ribosomal RNA". It matches the Rfam family "Bacterial small subunit ribosomal RNA", at positions 339 to 795 of the family's 1533-position model. The record is from RNAcentral.
CUACGGGGGGCACCAGUGGGGAAUAUUGCACAAUGGGCGCAAGCCUGAUGCAGCCAUGCCGCGUGUAUGAAGAAGGCCUUCGGGUUGUAAAGUACUUUCAGCGGGGAGGAAGGGAGUAAAGUUAAUACCUUUGCUCAUUGACGCUACCCGCAGAAGAAGCACCGGCUAACUCCGUGCCAGCAGCCGCGGUAAUACGGAGGGUGCAAGCGUUAACCGGAAUUACUGGGCGUAAAGCGCACGCAGGCGGUUUGUUAGGUCAGAUGUGAAAUCCCCGGGCUCAACCUGGGAACUGCAUCUGAUACUGGCAAGCUAGAGUCUCGUAGAGGGGGGUAGAAUUCCAGGUGUAGCGGUGAAAUGCGUAGAGAUCUGGAGGAAUACCGGUGGCGAAGGCGGCCCCCUGGACGAAGACUGACGCUCAGGUGCGAAAGCGUGGGGAGCAAACAGGAUUAGAUACCCGUGUAGUC